RNAcentral lists this non-coding RNA (45 nucleotides) under Schistosoma mansoni. Lineage: Eukaryota; Metazoa; Platyhelminthes; Trematoda; Strigeidida; Schistosomatidae. The record is from RNAcentral.
AUUUAGCUGACGACUCCAAAAUAGGACGGAACGAGCGUCCUGGAU